RNAcentral lists this long non-coding RNA (568 nucleotides) under Calidris pygmaea (Spoon-billed sandpiper). Its description in RNAcentral is "lncRNA (ENSCPGG00000014538.1)". The record is from RNAcentral. Lineage: Eukaryota; Metazoa; Chordata; Aves; Charadriiformes; Scolopacidae.
UGCUUUGGCAAAGCUGGUUCACAAUAUACUUUUAGUUUAACACUGCAGUUCAUUUGUUUUUAAUUUCUUUUCUUUUUCUCCUUGUAGCUGCAGAAGCAGAAUAGGAAUUGCUUCAGUGGGAUGAAGAAAUUAUUUCAGUUUGGAAUCCAGGAAUAAAUGAAACAAAGUUGUUGUCAAACCACUGUAAGCAGCACACAAAUAAAAGUCAAGCAAAGAAAUUGUGUUGGAUUCAGGAAAGGAGUAGGACACCUGAAACAUCACUGCCUAGAGUGGAACUCCUGGCAGCAUCCAGUCUUCACUGGAGGAAAGACAAGGCCGGUCUUAGAAACAGGGAUGGAGAGUCCCUGAUGGUACUGUUGGGCUCCUGCUAUUCUCUCAGAGGCCACACAUUUCGAAUUGUGUCUCGUGCGAUAGCCCAGGAACAGACACCGCCCUACUGGUAAGCUUCUUGUGGUAGGUUUGCGUGCAGCGGCGGGCAAGGAGACCCCAGUCUCAUCAGAGGUCUUGUGGUAACUUGGGAACACAGAUGUGAAGCAAUGGUAGGAUUUUUUUUUGAGGGCAAACAGGC